UUUCAGUGCUCAAAACCAUGCAAAAAUGUAAGUUGCGUUGAAUCGAUGGCUUUGAAGCGCCACUUUAUGAAUAGUAUAUUCUCUUUUAACCUUUUCCACGAGCCGAAGUGUAAGAGACUAGAAUGGAUGCAGUUAGAAAUCAGUGACAGGUAGUCAUCGGUGUGGUAGCUGUUUUUAAGUCUUGUACCACGUUUUAGCGCUAUAAAGUAUGAUCUCUAUACACAAUAGCAGGAUGGAGAGAACGAAAGUACAAACAGUGAAGAAGGUGGAAGUAAAUUUGGUUGCAUUAAAAUUGUUCUUUGAGACACCAACUUGUGACGAGGACGAAGGCUUGGUAGGAGUUCAUUCCUGUCUCCCUGUAGCUGCACUGCAGAUUCUGAGUAGCUCCCUGCAUGCGAAAGAUGCUGGAGUUUUCCUGCACGAACAAGGGAUUGACUUGAAGAUGCCCAGCAGUUGCACAUGUAUGUUG
This is a long non-coding RNA of Ornithodoros turicata, 469 nucleotides long. RefSeq lists it as uncharacterized. The transcript is spliced from 3 exons. The record is from RefSeq and is a predicted model, not a curated record. Lineage: Eukaryota; Metazoa; Arthropoda; Arachnida; Ixodida; Argasidae.